GACGAACGCUGGCGGCGUGCUUAACACAUGCAAGUCGAGCGGUAAGGCCCUUUCGGGGGUACGACGAGCGGCGAACGGGUGAGUAACACGUGGGUGACCUGCCCUCCAGCUCUGGGAUAAGCCUGGGAAACCGGGUCUAAUACUGGAUAUGACUCCAUGACGCAUGUUGUGGGGUGGAAAGCCUUGUGCGGCUGAGGAUGGGCCCGCGGCCUAUCAGCUUGUUGGUGGGGUGANGGCCUACCAAGGCGACGACGGGUAGCCGGCCUGAGAGGGCGACCGGCCACACUGGGACUGAGACACGGCCCAGACUCCUACGGGAGGGCAGCAGUGGGGAAUCCUGCGCAAUGGGCGAAAGCCUGACGCAGCGACGCCGCGUGAGGGAUGACGGCCUCGGUUGUAAC
This 401-nucleotide ribosomal RNA is filed under the name uncultured bacterium. Its description in RNAcentral is "bacterial SSU rRNA". It matches the Rfam family "Bacterial small subunit ribosomal RNA", at positions 28 to 429 of the family's 1533-position model. The record is from RNAcentral.